AGAGUUUGAUCAUGGCUCAGAUUGAACGCUGGCGGCAGGCCUAACACAUGCAAGUCGAACGGUAACAGGAAGCAGCUUGCUGCUUUGCUGACGAGUGGCGGACGGGUGAGUAAUGUCUGGGAAACUGCCUGAUGGAGGGGGAUAACUACUGGAAACGGUGGCUAAUACCGCAUAACGUCGCAAGACCAAAGAGGGGGACCUUCGGGCCUCUUGCCAUCAGAUGUGCCCAGAUGGGAUUAGCUUGUUGGUGAGGUAACGGCUCACCAAGGCGACGAUCCCUAGCUGGUCUGAGAGGAUGACCAGCCACACUGGAACUGAGACACGGUCCAGACUCCUACGGGAGGCAGCAGUGGGGAAUAUUGCACAAUGGGCGCAAGCCUGAUGCAGCCAUGCCGCGUGUAUGAAGAAGGCCUUCGGGUUGUAAAGUACUUUCAGCGGGGAGGAAGGUGUUGCGGUUAAUAACCGCAGCAAUUGACGUUACCCGCAGAAGAAGCACCGGCUAACUCCGUGCCAGCAGCCGCGGUAAUACGGAGGGUGCAAGCGUUAAUCGGAAUUACUGGGCGUAAAGCGCACGCAGGCGGUCUGUCAAGUCGGAUGUGAAAUCCCCGGGCUCAACCUGGGAACUGCAUUCGAAACUGGCAGGCUUGAGUCUUGUAGAGGGGGGUAGAAUUCCAGGUGUAGCGGUGAAAUGCGUAGAGAUCUGGAGGAAUACCGGUGGCGAAGGCGGCCCCCUGGACAAAGACUGACGCUCAGGUGCGAAAGCGUGGGGAGCAAACAGGAUUAGAUACCCUGGUAGUCCACGCCGUAAACGAUGUCUACUUGGAGGUUGUGCCCUUGAGGCGUGGCUUCCGGAGCUAACGCGUUAAGUAGACCGCCUGGGGAGUACGGCCGCAAGGUUAAAACUCAAAUGAAUUGACGGGGGCCCGCACAAGCGGUGGAGCAUGUGGUUUAAUUCGAUGCAACGCGAAGAACCUUACCUGGUCUUGACAUCCACAGAACUUUCCAGAGAUGGACUGGUGCCUUCGGGAACUGUGAGACAGGUGCUGCAUGGCUGUCGUCAGCUCGUGUUGUGAAAUGUUGGGUUAAGUCCCGCAACGAGCGCAACCCUUAUCCUUUGUUGCCAGCGGUCCGGCCGGGAACUCAAAGGAGACUGCCAGUGAUAAACUGGAGGAAGGUGGGGAUGACGUCAAGUCAUCAUGGCCCUUACGACCAGGGCUACACACGUGCUACAAUGGCGCAUACAAAGAGAAGCGACCUCGCGAGAGCAAGCGGACCUCAUAAAGUGCGUCGUAGUCCGGAUUGGAGUCUGCAACUCGACUCCAUGAAGUCGGAAUCGCUAGUAAUCGUGGAUCAGAAUGCCACGGUGAAUACGUUCCCGGGCCUUGUACACACCGCCCGUCACACCAUGGGAGUGGGUUGCAAAAGAAGUAGGUAGCUUAACCUUCGGGAGGGCGCUUACCACUUUGUGAUUCAUGACUGGGGUGAAGUCGUAACAAGGUAACCGUAGGGGAACCUGCGGUUGGAUCACCU
This 1530-nucleotide ribosomal RNA is filed under the name Salmonella enterica subsp. enterica serovar Senftenberg. RNAcentral describes it as "bacterial SSU rRNA". It matches the Rfam family "Bacterial small subunit ribosomal RNA". The record is from RNAcentral. Lineage: Bacteria; Pseudomonadati; Pseudomonadota; Gammaproteobacteria; Enterobacterales; Enterobacteriaceae.